RNAcentral lists this ribosomal RNA (119 nucleotides) under Sphaeramia orbicularis (orbiculate cardinalfish). Lineage: Eukaryota; Metazoa; Chordata; Actinopteri; Kurtiformes; Apogonidae. The record is from RNAcentral.
ACUUAUGGCCAUACCACCCUGAAAACGCCCGAUCUCGUCUGAUCUCAGAAGCAUACCACGGUCAGGCCUGGUCAGUACCUGGAUGGGAGACCACCUGGGAAUACCGGGUUCCGUAAGUU